CGCGUAGGUAACCUGCCUUGUAGCGGGGGAUAACUAUUGGAAACGAUAGCUAAUACCGCAUAACAAUGGGUGACACAUGUCAUUUAUUUGAAAGGGGCGAUUGCUCCACUACAAGAUGGACCUGCGUUGUAUUAGCUAGUAGGUGAGGUAACGGCUCACCUAUGCGACGAUACAUAGCCGACCUGAUAGGGUGAUCGGCCACACUGGGACUGAGACACGGCCCAG
This 225-nucleotide ribosomal RNA is filed under the name uncultured Streptococcaceae bacterium. RNAcentral describes it as "partial 16S ribosomal RNA". It matches the Rfam family "Bacterial small subunit ribosomal RNA", at positions 114 to 334 of the family's 1533-position model. Lineage: Bacteria; Bacillati; Bacillota; Bacilli; Lactobacillales; Streptococcaceae. The record is from RNAcentral.